UACAGAGGGGGCAAGCGUUGUUCGGAAUUACUGGGCGUAAAGGGCGCGUAGGCGGCCUUCUAAGUCGAACGUGAAAUCCCCGGGCUCAACCCGGGAACUGCGUCCGAUACUGGAAGGCUUGAAUCCGGGAGAGGGAUGUGGAAUUCCAGGUGUAGCGGUGAAAUGCGUAGAUAUCUGGAGGAACACCGGUGGCGAAGGCAAUCCCCUGGGCCUGCACUGACGCUCAUGCACGAAAGCGUGGGGAGCAAACAGG
RNAcentral lists this ribosomal RNA (253 nucleotides) under uncultured bacterium. RNAcentral's name for it is "partial 16S ribosomal RNA". It matches the Rfam family "Bacterial small subunit ribosomal RNA", at positions 524 to 776 of the family's 1533-position model. The record is from RNAcentral.